RNAcentral lists this ribosomal RNA (844 nucleotides) under uncultured Microbacterium sp. Its description in RNAcentral is "bacterial SSU rRNA". It matches the Rfam family "Bacterial small subunit ribosomal RNA", at positions 539 to 1382 of the family's 1533-position model. Lineage: Bacteria; Bacillati; Actinomycetota; Actinomycetes; Micrococcales; Microbacteriaceae. The record is from RNAcentral.
AGACGUUCGGAAUAUUGGGCGUAAGAGCUCGUAGGCGGUUUGUCGCGUCUGCUGUGAAAUCCGGAGGCUCAACCUCCGGCCUGCAGUGGGUACGGGCAGACUAGAGUGCGGUAGGGGAGAUUGGAAUUCCUGGUGUAGCGGUGGAAUGCGCAGAUAUCAGGAGGAACACCGAUGGCGAAGGCAGAUCUCUGGGCCGUAACUGACGCUGAGGAGCGAAAGGGUGGGGAGCAAACAGGCUUAGAUACCCUGGUAGUCCACCCCGUAAACGUUGGGAACUAGUUGUGGGGUCCAUUCCACGGAUUCCGUGACGCAGCUAACGCAUUAAGUUCCCCGCCUGGGGAGUACGGCCGCAAGGCUAAAACUCAAAGGAAUUGACGGGGACCCGCACAAGCGGCGGAGCAUGCGGAUUAAUUCGAUGCAACGCGAAGAACCUUACCAAGGCUUGACAUAUACGAGAACGGGCCAGAAAUGGUCAACUCUUUGGACACUCGUAAACAGGUGGUGCAUGGUUGUCGUCAGCUCGUGUCGUGAGAUGUUGGGUUAAGUCCCGCAACGAGCGCAACCCUCGUUCUAUGUUGCCAGCACGUAAUGGUGGGAACUCAUGGGAUACUGCCGGGGUCAACUCGGAGGAAGGUGGGGAUGACGUCAAAUCAUCAUGCCCCUUAUGUCUUGGGCUUCACGCAUGCUACAAUGGCCGGUACAAAGGGCUGCAAUACCGCGAGGUGGAGCGAAUCCCAAAAAGCCGGUCCCAGUUCGGAUUGAGGUCUGCAACUCGACCUCAUGAAGUCGGAGUCGCUAGUAAUCGCAGAUCAGCAACGCUGCGGUGAAUACGUUCCCGGGUCUG